GCCAGUGGGCGGCGGGCUUACACAUGCAGUCGAGCGGUAGCACAGGGGAGCUUGCUCCCUGGGUGACGAGCGGCGGACGGGUGAGUAAUGUCUGGGAAACUGCCUGAUGGAGGGGGAUAACUACUGGAAACGGUAGCUAAUACCGCAUAACGUCGCAAGACCAAAGAGGGGGACCUUCGGGCCUCUUGCCAUCAGAUGUGCCCAGAUGGGAUUAGCUAGUAGGUGGGGUAAUGGCUCACCUAGGCGACGAUCCCUAGCUGGUCUGAGAGGAUGACCAGCCACACUGGAACUGAGACACGGUCCAGACUCCUACGGGAGGCAGCAGUGGGGAAUAUUGCACAAUGGGCGCAAGCCUGAUGCAGCCAUGCCGCGUGUGUGAAGAAGGCCUUCGGGUUGUAAAGCACUUUCAGCGAGGAGGAAGGUGGUGAACUUAAUACGUUCAUCAAUUGACGUUACUCGCAGAAGAAGCACCGGCUAACUCCGUGCCAGCAGCCGCGGUAAUACGGAGGGUGCAAGCGUUAAUCGGAAUUACUGGGCGUAAAGCGCACGCAGGCGGUUUGUUAAGUCAGAUGUGAAAUCCCCGGGCUCAACCUGGGAACUGCAUUUGAAACUGGCAAGCUAGAGUCUCGUAGAGGGGGGUAGAAUUCCAGGUGUAGCGGUGAAAUGCGUAGAGAUCUGGAGGAAUACCGGUGGCGAAGGCGGCCCCCUGGACGAAGACUGACGCUCAGGUGCGAAAGCGUGGGGGAGCAAACAGGAUUAGAUACCCUGGUAGUCCACGCUGUAAACGAUGUCGAUUUGGGAGGUUGUGCCCUUGAGGCGUGGCUUCCGGAGCUAACGCGUUAAAUCGACCGCCUGGGGAGUACGGCCGCAAGGUUAAAACUCAAAUGAAUUGACGGGGGCCCGCACAAGCGGUGGAGCAUGUGGUUUAAUUCGAUGCAACGCGAAGAACCUUACCUACUCUUGACAUCCAGAGAACUUUCCAGAGAUGGAUUGGUGCCCUUCGGGAACUCUGAGACAGUGCUGCAUGGCUGUCGUCAGCUCGUGUUGUGAAAUGUUGGGUUAAGUCCCGCACGAGCGCACCCCUUAUCCCUUUGUUGCAGCGAUCGUGGUACUCAAGGAGACUGCCAGUGAUAAACUGGAGAAAGGGUGGGAUGACGUCAAGUCCAUCCAUGG
This 1173-nucleotide ribosomal RNA is filed under the name Serratia marcescens. RNAcentral describes it as "bacterial SSU rRNA". It matches the Rfam family "Bacterial small subunit ribosomal RNA", at positions 35 to 1198 of the family's 1533-position model. The record is from RNAcentral. Lineage: Bacteria; Pseudomonadati; Pseudomonadota; Gammaproteobacteria; Enterobacterales; Yersiniaceae.